This is a non-coding RNA of Salmo salar (Atlantic salmon), 1627 nucleotides long. NCBI's taxonomy places the organism in Eukaryota, Metazoa, Chordata, Actinopteri, Salmoniformes, Salmonidae. The record is from RefSeq and is a predicted model, not a curated record.
CUUAUCACACACAUAAUAUGAAAUGACCUAACAUACAGUCAGAGAUGUCAUGGCUAUCCUACUGUGAACAUUAGGAAUGUAAUCUUUACCUUACAGCUCUCCACACCUGGUACAUGUCAGAGCGAGAAUAAGCAUCAAUGGACAGCCAAUCAGCAAAGAGCUCUUCACCAAAUACUUCUGGGAGGUGUAUGCCCAGUUAGAGGCUACAAAGUUAUAGUAUGUCUUCAUAGAGAGUUGAAGAAUGAACACUGAUGUAGCCCAUCACUCUCAAAGAAACUCUCUGACCCUUUCUUGUUAUGACUGUGUCACUGCACUGAUCCUUAGGACUCCCAUGGAGUUAGUAUGCCGGCCUAUCUCCGCUUCCUCACGAUCCUGGCGUUCCAUGUCUUCCUAUAGGAGAGGGUAACAUUCACAUACCCUGUCACAUGUACAGUUUGUUUACAAAUGUACUAACGACCAAAUCAAUUGAUAACAGUUGUAAACCAUUCUGAGCAGUAUCUCUCUAUAUAACAGAUGGAUUUAUCUGUAGAGGCUGUGAUUUGAAGGGCCUAUGACUGUACAAACAUCAUCAAGUAUUUUUGCUGCAUAUCAUAAAGGCUAUAUUAUCAAAGUCAAACAUAAGAUUGAUUAGUUACAGAAUCCGUAUUCACUUAUUUUUCUUUCUGACAUUUGGUGAACAGGAAGCCAUGGGUUUCUGGGAUCUCCUCCUUAGGAAUUGAUCAAGUAUACUAGGAGACACCAUAGAGGAGAAAGCAUGUAUAUUUCAGAUGAGAGUAAUGCAUGUUGUGUUGUGUGAGGUCAACCUAUGCACUGUGUACCUGUGGCAUUAUUCUUACUAUCUAUUUAAAAAAAAAAUUGUAUUUAACUAGGCAAGUCAGUUAAGAACAAAUUCUUAUUUACAGUGACGGCCUACCCCGGCCAAACCCGGACGACGCUGGGCCAAUUGUGCGCCGCCCUAUGGGACUCCCAAUUACAGCCGGAUGUGAUACAGUCUGGAUUCAAACCAGGGAUUGUAGUGACGCCUCUUACACUUUGAUGCAGUGCCUUAGACCGCUGUACCACUCAGCCUGUCUGGAGGGGUGAAUGUAGUUGAAUAAAGUCCUAUCUCUCCUCAGCCAGGGGUGCCAGCAUUCACUGUUCUACCGGACAGAGCCGAAGAGACUGGGUGUCCCCUGUGGGUAUGUCCAGAUCUGGAGCAGUAUGAAGUUGGGGCUGACCCUCUAUGUCUGGGCCUGGCUGGACAACAGCAGCGCUGCAAUGCAUCACUUGCCCUGCAGCACAGCAAGACCUGGCUACACUGCUACCAACAGUCUGAUCAGCAGAAUUUCAAUGUGUUGGUGGAGAACAUGCUCACCCGUUGCCUGGACAAUGAGAGCAGCUAGCAGAGCCUGAGUGGGAGAGAAGCAGCAGGGAUCUGAGUCAGGCUGCUGAUACAGGACAGGUUCCCCCUGCUGGCCAAGACCAUGACACACACCCUGGUCUUCCCCUGCAUCGUCAGCGCCCUCCAGUGGAUCAGUCAGGGAAGGGACACUGUGCUGGCUACUGCAGGGAGCCACUAUCUCAAAUCAAAUUGUAUUUGUCACAUGCACCGAAUACAACAGGUGAAAUGCUUAUUUAACAGUUUAGC